RNAcentral lists this transfer RNA (72 nucleotides) under Parcubacteria group bacterium. RNAcentral's name for it is "tRNA-Val". It matches the Rfam family "tRNA". From Rfam's summary of the family: Transfer RNA (tRNA) molecules are approximately 80 nucleotides in length. Their secondary structure includes four short double-helical elements and three loops (D, anti-codon, and T loops). Further hydrogen bonds mediate the characteristic L-shaped molecular structure. tRNAs have two regions of fundamental functional importance: the anti-codon, which is responsible for specific mRNA codon recognition, and the 3' end, to which the tRNAs corresponding amino acid is attached (by aminoacyl-tRNA synthetases). tRNAs cope with the degeneracy of the genetic code in two manners: having more than one tRNA (with a specific anti-codon) for a particular amino acid; and 'wobble' base-pairing, i.e. permitting non-standard base-pairing at the 3rd anti-codon position. The record is from RNAcentral.
GGGCGGUUAGCUCAGUGGUAGAGCGUCUCGUUUACACCGAGAGGGUCGGGGGUUCGAGUCCCUCACCGCCCA